This 1446-nucleotide long non-coding RNA is filed under the name Sinocyclocheilus grahami. Its description in RNAcentral is "lncRNA (ENSSGRG00000030110.1)". Lineage: Eukaryota; Metazoa; Chordata; Actinopteri; Cypriniformes; Cyprinidae. The record is from RNAcentral.
UAUUUCCAAAGCAAACAAUGGAAAACAAAACUUAAGUGCUCUUUUACCACCAACAGGACAAUAGUUGCAAAAGUACUACAAAAAAUCUGACCUCCAAGGUGAUUCCCCAGAAUGAAACUCUGCCAGAGUCUUCACUGAAUGCAAAAGGAAAGGCCCCUCUACCAAAGGCAACAAGGGGUUGUCCUCAGAUUGGAUGUUGUAGGGAUACUGGCAAAAGUUCAGUCCAAUCCAAUAACUCCCGCAAUGAUCAUGGUUUCACUCAGAUUAAUGGAAGUCCCGGAGUUCCCCAGAGACAGAGCUCUACAUCUUUAAGGUUCCCAUGUGUUUCCCCCACAACGAUAUUUCAGAGUAACCCACAACACAACGCUGGCAACCAGGUUAAAUGUCAGCUGUCUGCAGGAAGGAGCUGUUGUCGACUUCUGCAAGAAAGACGGGAGGUCAUUGUUCACUGCAUGACUGAGGGGCGACUCAACAACCUACUUGAUGUGUUGCGGGCUAGACAGGCUGUGACCCGUGAGAUGUACGAGAUCAUCACUGCAGCCCUGACCUUGACCGCACGCACGCGCUGUUUGCUUGAUGUCUGUGCCUGCCUUGGUGAAAAUGUUGCUAUCUUGGUGGCCACAACUUUAGGUUUAGUAUCCACCGAAAAUACUCAGACCACACAUAGGUGGCAGGCUGGGUAAAUUAAGCCAACGUGCCGCUACUCUUAUGCAAUGGAAAAAUGCAGUAACUGCACAUGAAACAACUUAUAUCAGAUUGAUAUGGCACUGUAAUGUGUUGGAAUUGUUAGUGUGUUCUUGUUUGGACUACUCUGUAACAGAUGAAGAGAGGGUAGACUCUCUGGAAGGGUAUGCUGCAAUGCAGCUUUAGUCUUGGAUCUAAAGAUCUCAUCAGAUUAACACCCAGUAUAAAGGGUACUGAUGAUGUCAUUGUUUCCCAGUUGACAAACUGAAGGGAGUAGUUAAUGCCUUUGAUGAUGAUGAUGAUGAUAAUGAUGUUCUGAUGAAUGGGCAAAUAUAGGUUUGAUUACAUUCCUUUGUGGAGAGAAAAAAAUCAACAGCACAAAAACAGAUUAUUUUGAAAAGAACCUUCAUGAAAGGUAAGGCUGUUUCCCUUAAUCAUGCUUACUUAACAGUGUUUGCUGUGAACUUUCACUCUCAGUUAACACUGAGACUGUUGACUGAGAAGUUCACAGCCUAAUAUAUCACAUUCAUCUGAUAGACUCAUCAAAUAUUUUACAUUUUUCUUACUAUAACCACAUUUAUCUUGCAUGUAAUCCACAUUUCCAAGGAUGCAAGUUUUGGGGGGGGUUUUUCGACUCAGUAGUUUCUGAUUGUAGUGUAUCUUGCAACAAGACAUUAUUUUUUUUCUUCCCUCUGUACAGUUUGUAGCAUGGCAUGUAUAAAUCAAAAUAAAUACAUAAAUAUUAAAAAUGAAUGUAUGGAC